RNAcentral lists this transfer RNA (74 nucleotides) under Hyaloperonospora arabidopsidis Emoy2. RNAcentral describes it as "Hyaloperonospora arabidopsidis tRNA-Asp for anticodon GUC". It matches the Rfam family "tRNA". Rfam says of the family: Transfer RNA (tRNA) molecules are approximately 80 nucleotides in length. Lineage: Eukaryota; Oomycota; Peronosporomycetes; Peronosporales; Peronosporaceae. The record is from Rfam by way of RNAcentral.
GGAAAAGUAGCUCAGUUGGUUCGAGUAAUAGCUUGUCACGUUAUAAGUCGCGGGUUCAAGUCCCGUUUUUUCCG